UUGGGCAAAGGAGAGCCUAAGAAGCCAAGAGGCAAAAUAUCUUCACAGCAUUCUUUGUGUAAACUUGCUGGGAGGAGCAGAAGAAGAAGCACCCAAAUGUUCGGUCAAUUUCUCAGAGUUUUCUAAGAAGUGCCCAGAUAGGUGGAAGACCAUGUCUGCCAAGAAGAAAGAAAAAUUUGAAGACAUGGCAAAGGUAGACAAUACUCGUUACAAAAGAGAAAUGAAACCCAUGUCCCUCCUAAAGAAGAAAGAAAAAAGAAGUUCAAAGAUGCCAAUGCACCCAAGAGGCCUCCUUUGGCCUCAUUCUUUUCUGAGUAUCACCCAAAAAUCGAAAGAGAACAUCCCAGCCUAUCCAUUGUUGCAAAGAAACUGGGAGAGACAUGGAAUGACACUGCUGCAGAUGACAGGCAGCCUUAUAAAAAGAAGGAUGCAAGGCUGAAGGAAAAAUACCCAAAGAAUAUUGCUGCACAGUAAGCUAAAGGAAAGACUGAUGUAGCCAAAAAAAAAGGGAGUAAGAACAAGAAGGAAGAGGAGGAAGAUGAAAAAAAGAUGAAGAAGAUGAAGAUGAAGAAGAGGGAGAAGAAGAAGGAAGAAGGAGGAGGAGGAAGAGGAGAAGGAGGAGGAGGAG
RNAcentral lists this long non-coding RNA (628 nucleotides) under Homo sapiens (human). Its description in RNAcentral is "non-protein coding lnc-AHI1-5:1". The record is from RNAcentral. Lineage: Eukaryota; Metazoa; Chordata; Mammalia; Primates; Hominidae.